UUUCCCCUUGCCCGACAACCCUUCUUAUCACUCUCUCCCCCUCAUAUUUUCUCUGCCGUGCCAUUUCCCUUCGCCUUAGCUCUCGUACUCGUAUAUCUCUCUGCACUGCCAACACCAUCACACAAACACCAUUCAUCGCAAUCCUCAUUUCUCCCUCCCCGUGCAGCCUUUAACCCCCAUCACAACUACCUUAUCUCUCCAUCAGAAACAUCAUCAAAUAACCUUCAUUCUAUGUCCUCAACUAAGCAAGGAGAACUCCUAUACUCCUCCACAUAGCUCGGCACAGUCACUGUGCAUACGUUUUUCGACUACUUAUCGCCGUAUCCGGUGAGGGUUUUAGCACAAAAAAAUACCUCGGGAAGCUUUUCCUAGAAAAUCUGGAAAUUCAAACCGUGGCUGUUUAGCCUUCUUCUAGCCACUUUUCCGGCCAACUCCGUGUUUCUUCAAUCCUUCCAAGGGUAUGAAUCUCUUCUCCACAUUCCUAACUACAUUUUGGAUUUUGAAUCACUCGAUUUGGGCUUGUAUUGAGCUCGGAAUGAGCUCUCGAAGACCUAGUGACGAGAAGUACAACCUAAGCAUCGAGACAUUCCCCUACUAGUGAUCUCGCGUCCUUCUACUUGUGUAUGGCUUCCUUAUGAUUGAUGGUAACUCAUUGUCUUUCAUUUCGUUAGCACGUUCGUUUUGAAAUAUGCUCUGAACAUAUUCGUGCAUCUUUUAUUUCGGUUAUUGAAACCAUCGGACAUUGCUUUCAUUCGUCUUUAUUUGGAAAUGUUAUUAUUGCCUUUCUUGCGUUGGUAUUUUUCCCUAUGAUUGUUAUUUGCUAUAUGAUUCUCGAAUUUCAUGUUUCCUUUUUAUACUUGCACUUUCACAUAUUUAUGACUUUCGUCACUCUCGAGUGUUGGCCAACACGUGCUAUCUAGCUAUCACUUGGAUUAUCUGGGUUGGGACAUGUCAUAUUUGGAGAUAACAUGAU
Molecule: small RNA, 973 nt
Filed under: Malus domestica (apple)
Lineage: Eukaryota; Viridiplantae; Streptophyta; Magnoliopsida; Rosales; Rosaceae
Description: sRNA MD08G0185400
Source: RNAcentral